RNAcentral lists this ribosomal RNA (433 nucleotides) under Salmonella enterica. Its description in RNAcentral is "partial 23S ribosomal RNA". It matches the Rfam family "Bacterial large subunit ribosomal RNA", at positions 1121 to 1556 of the family's 2925-position model. The record is from RNAcentral. Lineage: Bacteria; Pseudomonadati; Pseudomonadota; Gammaproteobacteria; Enterobacterales; Enterobacteriaceae.
AUUUAAAGAAAGCGUAAUAGCUCACUGGUCGAGUCGGCCUGCGCGGAAGAUGUAACGGGGCUAAACCAUGCACCGAAGCUGCGGCAGCGACGCUGAUGCGUUGUUGGGUAGGGGAGCGUUCUGUAAGCCUGUGAAGGUGGCCUGUGAGGGUUGCUGGAGGUAUCAGAAGUGCGAAUGCUGACAUAAGUAACGAUAAAGCGGGUGAAAAGCCCGCUCGCCGGAAGACCAAGGGUUCCUGUCCAACGUUAAUCGGGGCAGGGUGAGUCGACCCCUAAGGCGAGGCCGAAAGGCGUAGUCGAUGGGAAACGGGUUAAUAUUCCCGUACUUGGUGUUACUGCGAAGGGGGGACGGAGAAGGCUAUGUUGGCCGGGCGACGGUUGUCCCGGUUUAAGCGUGUAGGUGUGUGUUCCAGGUAAAUCCGGUUCACUUUAAC